GCUGACCUAAAAGGGACUUUGGUAUGAUAACAUAUGCAAUUAGUAUGCUAUUGAUUUUCACUACUCAAAUUGUAACACGGGAAUAUUCUGAAAGAUAUUAAGACUUUUCAUAAAGGUUCAUAAAAUUUGGUAGCUCAGAUCAGAACAAUAAGCUGAAUUGCAUGAGUGGUCUUCAUUGCUUUCAAAGUUUGAGAUAUGAAAAUGAAAUUCCUUAUUAUUUUUUGGCAUAGCUUUAUGUAUUUGAGCAAUAUAUUUCAAUGGGACUGGACAGUGAGUUGCCAUUUGUGUAAUGUUAGAAUCCCUUAAUUAGUG
This 312-nucleotide unclassified non-coding RNA is filed under the name Hevea brasiliensis (rubber tree). Lineage: Eukaryota; Viridiplantae; Streptophyta; Magnoliopsida; Malpighiales; Euphorbiaceae. The record is from RNAcentral.